This is a long non-coding RNA of Austrofundulus limnaeus, 675 nucleotides long. RefSeq lists it as uncharacterized. The transcript is spliced from 3 exons. NCBI's taxonomy places the organism in Eukaryota, Metazoa, Chordata, Actinopteri, Cyprinodontiformes, Rivulidae. The record is from RefSeq and is a predicted model, not a curated record.
ACUUUGAGAACACCAGAGCGAGGGCUCUUGUGAUAAAUCCUGAAGGUAAAUCCUUUCCAAUGCUUCAAACGCUCCGCAUAAAACUGUUGUCAAAGUCCUCGCUGGACCACUAGUGGGCUCUCUGAACAUCUAUUUUAAAGCCUGCUGGCACCAUUUACUGCCAGAUCUGUCAUUCAUUAUUAGAUAUAAUAAGUGCAUUUUCAGUUUGAAUGUUUCCCGCAGCAGCCAUUUGCACAGUCUGUUCUUGUGAUUGACUGACCAUUAUUUUAAUGCCAGUAUGAGUCAUACCAAGGUCCUUUUGUUGUAAAUGGGCUAAACUAAUGGGGCAGAAUGUGCUCACAUUUUCCUCACAUUAUACUCAAUUUAAGUUUAUUUGCAAGUGACUGGGAAAAUAGACCAAAUGUUUGAAGCAGCUGUUUGCGGAUCCUUGUAAAGCUGUUCUGACAUAAAUAAACAUCCAUUUGGGGGCAUUGUUGCCUGUUGAUACAAUAUGAGUUUCAAUAGUUGCGUAAAAUGACAAUCUAUUCAUUCGUUUGGGUCAAGCCCUCUUCUAUCUGAUGGAAAAAUAAUAAUUUAAGUGCCUCUCCUUCUCCAGAUGCUCCCGGAUGACCCUCAUGCCUACAAAAGAUCGAUGGUAGAGGUGUAUUAAAUGAUUGCUUUCUGUAAUAUGACAAC